Molecule: ribosomal RNA, 431 nt
Filed under: uncultured bacterium
Lineage: Bacteria
Description: partial 16S ribosomal RNA
Rfam family: Bacterial small subunit ribosomal RNA
Source: RNAcentral
AACGAACGCUGGCGGCAGGCUUAACACAUGCAAGUCGAGCGCCCCGCAAGGGGAGCGGCAGACGGGUGAGUAACGCGUGGGAACGUACCUUUUGGUUCGGAACAACUCCGGGAAACUGGAGCUAAUACCGGAUAAGCCCUAAAGGGGAAAGAUUUAUCGCCGAAAGAACGGCCCGCGCCUGAUUAGCUAGUUGGUGAGGUAACGGCUCACCAAGGCGACGAUCAGUAGCUGGUCUGAGAGGAUGAUCAGCCACACUGGGACUGAGACACGGCCCAGACUCCUACGGGAGGCAGCAGUGGGGAAUAUUGGACAAUGGGCGCAAGCCUGAUCCAGCCAUGCCGCGUGAGUGAUGAAGGCCUUAGGGUUGUAAAGCUCUUUUGUCCGGGAAGAUAAUGACUGUACCGGAAGAAUAAGCCCCGGCUAACUUCGUG